UGCACUCACUACUGUUAGUCGCUCUGGAUAAGAGCAUCUGCUAAAUGACUAAAA
Non-coding RNA from Salmo salar (Atlantic salmon), 54 nucleotides. Lineage: Eukaryota; Metazoa; Chordata; Actinopteri; Salmoniformes; Salmonidae. The record is from Rfam.